This is a non-coding RNA of Podarcis lilfordi (Lilford's wall lizard), 70 nucleotides long. Lineage: Eukaryota; Metazoa; Chordata; Lepidosauria; Squamata; Lacertidae. The record is from the annotation of a GenBank genome assembly.
GGCCAUGGCUCAUUUGCAGAGCAUCUGCCUUGCAUGCAGAAGACCCCAGAUCCAAUCCCUGGCAACUCCA